This is a non-coding RNA of Musa acuminata subsp. malaccensis (wild Malaysian banana), 2146 nucleotides long. The record is from RefSeq and is a predicted model, not a curated record. NCBI's taxonomy places the organism in Eukaryota, Viridiplantae, Streptophyta, Magnoliopsida, Zingiberales, Musaceae.
UAAUGAGCCGGGCUUCGUUGGUCGUCUCUUUUCCUCCGUCGGGUCGGCGAUUGGCAGAACCCUAAUCUCUGAGUCCGGAUCGUUCGAUUGCUCCCGACACCGGAUCGGAGGAGAGGAGAGGAGGAUCGGCUGAACCUGGGCGGCGAUGGGGAAGAAGAAGAAGAGGCCGUCGAAGAUGUGGUGCUACUACUGCGACCGGGAGUUCGACGACGAGAAGAUCCUCGUUCAGCACCAGAAGGCCAAGCACUUCAAGUGCCACGUCUGCCACAAGAAGCUCUCCACCGCUGGUGGCAUGGCCAUCCAUGUUCUCCAGGUCCACAAGGAGACCGUCACCAAGGUUCCUAAUGCUAAGCCUGACAGAGAAUCAACUGAGAUUGAGAUUUACGGAAUGCAAGGAAUCCCUCCUGAUAUAUUAGCAGCUCACUAUGGCGAAGAUGAAGAGGCAGCAGCAAAGACAAUGAAAAUGGAAAUGCCAUCCACUGGGCUUGUUGGAGUUGUACCUGGUUCAAUGGGCAUAAGAUUUCCUCCACCACCAACCUAUGGUGCAGUUCCACCAGCAUACAAUCCUGCACUUCCAGUGCCACCUCCAACAUGGCCUGUUCCAGCUGCUCGUCCGCAACCUUGGUUUCCACCACAGUUGACCAUUCCAGUUCCUCCUGCACCUGUUGUGGCACCACAACAACCAUUAUUUCCUAUUCAGAAUGUUAUGACUCCUUUGAACUCCACUUCUGGUGCUGGACUUCAAUCACCACUUCCACCUGGCGUAUCAUCAUCCACACCACCUGCAGUGUCCCAACCACUAUUUCCAAUCAGUAGUCCAGCUGGUGUACCAGCUCAGAGUUCCCCAUUUUUGGCAACAUCCUCACCUGCAGUCAUUUCCUCAACCUCCCCUAUGAUGUUGAAAGGUGUAGCUGAUGCAAAUCCUGUAUCAAGUAUUGCUGCAAGUGGUUAUGUUGCUCUAAACAAUUCAGGUGUUGUUUCAUAUACAAAUUCACAUGUGUAUGCUUCUGGUCCAAACACUGAGAACCCUUCAAUUGGACCUCCACCUGUGAUAUCCAACAAACCCCCUGCUUCCCAUCCCACCGCAAAUGAGGUGUACUUGGUUUGGGAUGAUGAGGCAAUGUCAAUGGAAGAAAGAAGAAUGUCUCUACCAAAGUAUCAGGUGCAUGAUGAAACUAGCCAGGUAAGUUGCUAGUGCCUUCUGUUUAUUCGUUCUAAUGAAUUGAGAUGAAUGUGCAAUUUGGUUGCAGAUCUGGAUAGGUAGGUUGACCUAUUCCUUUUAGAUUCUUCGUACUAUACUUAAUUGUACUUAAUAGUUGAUAAAUCCAUCAGAAUCUAGACUCCACUAAGUUUUUGGCCCUUUUGAGUUUACUACUAGGACUUCUUUUCUAAUCAAUUUCUAGUUUCACCCUUCUGGUUGAUGGGGAAAGAGUUUUUUUUCCUUAAAUUGCGACCUUUAACAUGCUAUAUAUAAUCCAGUCGAUUUUCUGGGGCAUCAAAGUUUCCAAGUAGGUAUUUACAUUUAUUCUUUCUGCUAGUUAGUGGUACAAAUCUGACAAGCUUGUGCUGCAAAAGACUCAAGGGUCCUCAACCUAGCACCAGGCCAGUGCGAAAAUGUGUAUGUAUUUUGUUCUGAUUAAAAUUUUAAUUUCUUGUAUGUGGUAUUUAUUCUCCCUAUUGCUUGUUAAUGAGCUUGGGGGCUUGGAUGGCACAAGAUAUAUCCCGACAGGCUUUUCUCAAUUCGUAGCAUUUCUUGUUAUCUAUAUUUGAUCACAGUGUGCGACAAGAGUUGGCACAGAUGAACUCUGUCAAUGCAGCCAUAGACAGACGGAUAUCUGAAAGCCAGCUUGCAGGUCGUAUGGCUUUCUAGUCUUUUUCCUAGUGCUGGAAGUUGAAGUCUCUUUGGCGAUCUUGGAAGGACUUGAGAUCCAUAAGCAACAAGCUUCAAUGAUCCUUCUGAAUAAAUAUGCUCUUCAUCAGAGGUUGGUUUGUCUGUCAAACGUAUCCAUAGACAAUUUAGACGAGUUUGUUGUUUCAUUUGAUGAUGAAUAGGCUGUGAGUUAUAAGUGUAAAGGUUUUGAACGGUUCUUCUAUCAAGAUUCUCAGCAGUUCUUCAGAAACUAAUACCACUGCUUCAUUUUGGUCA